UGCGUAGGCGGUUAUUUAAGUAGGGUGUGAAAUGCCCCGGCUCAACCGGGGAACUGCGCUCUAAACUUGGGUAACUUGAGUGAGAUAGAGGUGUGCGGAACUUCCGGUGGAGCGGUGAAAUGUGUUGAUAUCGGAGGGAACACCAUUGGCGAAAGCGGCACACUGGGUCUCAACUGACGCUGAGGCACGAAAGCCAGGGGAGCAAACG
RNAcentral lists this ribosomal RNA (208 nucleotides) under uncultured bacterium. RNAcentral describes it as "partial 16S ribosomal RNA". It matches the Rfam family "Bacterial small subunit ribosomal RNA", at positions 568 to 774 of the family's 1533-position model. The record is from RNAcentral.